RNAcentral lists this ribosomal RNA (253 nucleotides) under uncultured bacterium. RNAcentral's name for it is "partial 16S ribosomal RNA". It matches the Rfam family "Bacterial small subunit ribosomal RNA", at positions 524 to 776 of the family's 1533-position model. The record is from RNAcentral.
GACGAACCGUGCGAACGUUGUUCGGAAUCACUGGGCUUAAAGGGCGCGUAGGCGGGUCAGCCAGUCCGGGGUGAAAUCCUUCGGCUUAACCGGAGAACUGCCUCGGAGACGACUGAUCUGGAGGGAGGUAGGGGUCGCUGGAACUUCCGGUGGAGCGGUGAAAUGCGUUGAUAUCGGAAGGAACGCCGGUGGCGAAAGCGAGCGACUGGACCUUUACUGACGCUGAGGCGCGAAAGCUAGGGGAGCAAACGGG